AAAUUGAAGAGUUUGAUCAUGGCUCAGAUUGAACGCUGGCGGCAGGCCUAACACAUGCAAGUCGAACGGUAACAGGAAACAGCUUGCUGUUUCGCUGACGAGUGGCGGACGGGUGAGUAAUAUCUGGGAAACUGCCUGAUGGAGGGGGAUAACUACUGGAAACGGUAGCUAAUACCGCAUAACGUCGCAAGACCAAAGAGGGGGACCUUAGGGCCUCUUGCCAUCGGAUGUGCCCAGAUGGGAUUAGCUAGUAGGUGGGGUAAAGGCUCACCUAGGCGACGAUC
RNAcentral lists this ribosomal RNA (284 nucleotides) under Escherichia coli. Its description in RNAcentral is "partial 16S ribosomal RNA". It matches the Rfam family "Bacterial small subunit ribosomal RNA", at positions 1 to 281 of the family's 1533-position model. Lineage: Bacteria; Pseudomonadati; Pseudomonadota; Gammaproteobacteria; Enterobacterales; Enterobacteriaceae. The record is from RNAcentral.